CGUAGUGUAGUGGUUAUCACGUUCGCCUCACACGCGAAAGGUCCCCGGUUCGAAACCGGGCGGGAACAACCCCUUUUUCCUCAAACUUACCUUCAUGCAGCCAAAUCAAACAGAGGAGGGGACGGGGCGUGGAGGUGCGGUCGCAGCUGCAUUUUCCAUUCACGAGAAACGUGGCACAACUUCAGUUACUCAGCCCUAGGAAACAAGCCUCGGUUGUCUGCUCUCAGUCACAAUGGAGACCGCGACACAGUAAGUCCAAGGCGGGCGCAGGACUAGGCUGACUUCAGCCUACCUUGGGAUCCAGAGAGCCCCGAACCUUCUCCUCUGUCGCCGAAAUCUUCUCGACAGGCUGACAGUAUUUUCAAGAUGAAGCUUCUGUUCCUGUCAUCUAUUCAGGAACAAAGGUUUCCCCAAGAAUAAAAGGAAGACUUUCUUAUUCAAACCACAGUCCAAGGAGUGGCAAACACCAACAGCAAGUAUGCAUAGAGAACACAAUUUUAUGAUUAGCAAGAGAGUUAACCAAGGUAAAACUUGAAUUUCAAUCCCUAGCCUAGAGAAAAAAGGUAAGAAACCUUUUCAUUUUCUAAGGGAAGUGUAUUUCAUGAUAUUUAUGAUUGUGAUUAGGCGGGAAAGGG
Molecule: long non-coding RNA, 635 nt
Filed under: Equus asinus (donkey)
Lineage: Eukaryota; Metazoa; Chordata; Mammalia; Perissodactyla; Equidae
Description: lncRNA (ENSEASG00005028858.1)
Rfam family: tRNA (bases 1-68)
Source: RNAcentral